GAUGAACGCUGGCGGCGCGCCUAACACAUGCAAGUCGAACGAUUAAAGCACCUUCGGGUGUGUAUAAAGUGGCGAACGGCUGAGUAACACGUGGGCAACCUGCCCCUUUCAUUGGGAUAGCCACGGGAAACCGUGGAUAAUACCGAAUACUUCGAGACUUCCGCAUGGAAGACUCGAGAAAGCUCCGGCGGAGAGGGAUGGGCCCGCCGCCUGUUAGCUUGUUGGUGGGGUAACGGCCUACCAAGGCAAUGAUGGGUAGCUGGGUUGAGAGACCGACCAGCCAGAUUGGGACUGAGACACGGCCCAGACUCCUACGGGAGGCAGCAGUGGGGAAUCUUGCACAAUGGGCGAAAGCCUGAUGCAGCGACGCCGCGUGCGGGAUGAAGGCCUUCGGGUUGUAAACCGCUUUCAGCAGGGACGAGGCGAAAGUGACGGUACCUGCAGAAGAAGCCCCGGCUAACUACGUG
RNAcentral lists this ribosomal RNA (467 nucleotides) under uncultured bacterium. Its description in RNAcentral is "partial 16S ribosomal RNA". It matches the Rfam family "Bacterial small subunit ribosomal RNA", at positions 28 to 507 of the family's 1533-position model. The record is from RNAcentral.